AUUGAACGCUGGCGGCCUGCCUUCCCCCUGCACGUCGACCGGCAGCACGGGUGCUUGCCCCUGGUGGCGAGUGGCGAACGGGUGAGUAAUACAUCGGAACAUGUCCUGUAGUGGGGGAUAGCCCGGCGAAAGCCGGAUUAAUACCGCAUACGAUCUACGGAUGAAAGCGGGGGACCUUCGGGCCUCGCGCUAUAGGGUUGGCCGAUGGCUGAUUAGCUAGUUGGUGGGGUAAAGGCCUACCAAGGCGACGAUCAGUAGCUGGUCUGAGAGGACGACCAGCCACACUGGGACUGAGACACGGCCCAGACUCCUACGGGAGGCAGCAGUGGGGAAUUUUGGACAAUGGGCGAAAGCCUGAUCCAGCAAUGCCGCGUGUGUGAAGAAGGCCUUCGGGUUGUAAAGCACUUUGGUCCGGAAAGAAAUCCUUGGCCCUAAUACGGUCGGGGGAUGACGGUACCGGAAGAAUAAGCACCGGCUAACUACGUG
This 486-nucleotide ribosomal RNA is filed under the name uncultured bacterium. RNAcentral's name for it is "partial 16S ribosomal RNA". It matches the Rfam family "Bacterial small subunit ribosomal RNA", at positions 30 to 507 of the family's 1533-position model. The record is from RNAcentral.